UCCCUGACCUAAUAAAUGACUUAAGUUUUAAAAGCACACAUGUCUCCUUGGUUAAGUGGUAUUAAGCAGUAAUACCCGGUGGCAGCGAAGAAAGAAGAAGGGCGAGAACCUUGUGAAGGCCUGGGGGAAAUAAGGGCUUCAGGGGGGAUCGCCACGGGCGAGAACCUCGUGAAGGCCUGAGGGAAAUAGGGGCUUCAGGGGAGAUCGCCACACUCAUCACAUGCCAAGCCGGGCUUCAUAAAGUUGCUUUCUUUGACUGUAGUUCCCACAAUUCUCCUAACCAGCCUAGCCAUAGGUCAGAAUCCUCCGAUGUCAGAAUGAGGUCACAAUCUGGUCUGUAUCCAGUUCAACAUGUUUGAAUACAAAGGUAUUGAAACCAAGCUUGUAAAAGUUGAACAUCUAGAACCUAGAUGGAUGAAUCUGUCCUUUUACAUGUCUUCCACACUUCUUUUUCUUUUUUAUUUAUUUCUUUAAGAUUUGUCUUGUCAGGUUUCUUUUCAAAGCAAAGGACUUAUAAAGCACAUUUUCGUCCCAGCCCGAAUAGGAAGACAUUUAAACCGGAACAUUCUUUAUCUGUCAUUCCGAUGCAGCCAUUUUUGUCCCUUUACAGAGUCCCUGAAUAAUUACAAGCAGAAGCCUAGAAAAGACGUUUUGCACACAAGAUUGAGUCUUUGGCUUACUUCUCAGUAAGACUAGGAAACAUUCUCCUGAUCGGACUAAGAAGCAACAAACUGAAAUACAUUGUUAAGACGUAUAUUGGUGUUUUCUUCCUUUCCCGGUUCAAACCGAAUAACGCACAGGUAGGAAAGCUUCACUGUAGUAAGUCAUCAAUAGAUUUCUAUGCAAUUAGGUUUCAUCUUCCAUUCUUCAAACAAACCUAAAUAUACCUCCAGUUGCACAUUUACUCUGUCAUUGACAUGUCUAUGUGCUCCCUAUGAGAUAACUAGUUUAGCCUGCUUGGUGAAGGAUCCUAAGGAAAGGGACUGCUCUUUUGGUUUGGGUUUAGAAAAAGAAUUUGCUCUCUCUCUCUCUCUCUCUCUCUC
Molecule: long non-coding RNA, 1043 nt
Filed under: Pogona vitticeps (central bearded dragon)
Lineage: Eukaryota; Metazoa; Chordata; Lepidosauria; Squamata; Agamidae
Description: lncRNA (ENSPVIG00000023993.1)
Source: RNAcentral